RNAcentral lists this ribosomal RNA (253 nucleotides) under uncultured bacterium. RNAcentral describes it as "partial 16S ribosomal RNA". It matches the Rfam family "Bacterial small subunit ribosomal RNA", at positions 524 to 776 of the family's 1533-position model. The record is from RNAcentral.
GACAGAGGGUGCUAGCGUUAUUCGGAAUUACUGGGCGUAAAGCGCGCGUAGGCGGUUUUUUAAGUCGAUUGUUAAAUCCUGGAGCUUAACUCCAGACAUGCGGUUGAUACUGGAAAACUAGAGUAUGGGAGAGGUAGAUGGAAUUCCUAGUGGAGAGGUAAAAUUUGUAGAUAUUAGGAGGAACACCAGAAGCGAAGGCGGUCUACUUGAACAUUACUGACGCUGUGGCGCGAAAGCGUGGGGAGCAAACAGG